This is a non-coding RNA of Anas platyrhynchos (mallard), 199 nucleotides long. The record is from RefSeq and is a predicted model, not a curated record. Lineage: Eukaryota; Metazoa; Chordata; Aves; Anseriformes; Anatidae.
GGAAGUGACUCAAGUUCAGGAGCUGGCAGUGAAAUUACUUCCGUGGCUUCUAAGCUCCCUUUCCAGCCCUUCCAAAUCUAAUGAGAAUGAAAGCUAAAAAGAAAGCCCCACCAACUCAGAAGCUCAAGUGCUUACAGUGAGUAGAAACCGAUGGGGAAGGUACUGGUGGAGUUAUGACAACUUUCACUCAGUGGAAGUC